UGAUAAACUGGGCUUCCUCAUAUCAAUCA
Molecule: non-coding RNA, 29 nt
Filed under: Rattus norvegicus (Norway rat)
Lineage: Eukaryota; Metazoa; Chordata; Mammalia; Rodentia; Muridae
Source: RNAcentral